AAAUUGAAGAGUUUGAUCAUGGCUCAGAUUGAACGCUGGCGGCAGGCCUAACACAUGCAAGUCGAACGGUAACAGGAAGCAGCUUGCUGCUUUGCUGACGAGUGGCGGACGGGUGAGUAAUGUCUGGGAAACUGCCCGAUGGAGGGGGAUAACUACUGGAAACGGUAGCUAAUACCGCAUAACGUCGCAAGACCAAAGAGGGGGACCUUAGGGCCUCUUGCCAUCGGAUGUGCCCAGAUGGGAUUAGCUAGUAGGU
RNAcentral lists this ribosomal RNA (256 nucleotides) under Escherichia coli. Its description in RNAcentral is "partial 16S ribosomal RNA". It matches the Rfam family "Bacterial small subunit ribosomal RNA", at positions 1 to 253 of the family's 1533-position model. The record is from RNAcentral. RNAcentral also lists the same sequence under 2 other names. Lineage: Bacteria; Pseudomonadati; Pseudomonadota; Gammaproteobacteria; Enterobacterales; Enterobacteriaceae.